GCGAGCGUUAAUCGGAAUUACUGGGCGUAAAGCGUGCGCAGGCGGCGCGUUAAGACAGGUGUGAAAGCCCCGAGCUUAACUUGGGAAUUGCGCUUGUGACUGGCGUGCUGGAGUGUGGCAGAGGGAGGUGGAAUUCCACGUGUAGCAGUGAAAUGCGUAGAGAUGUGGAGGAACACCGAUGGCGAAGGCAGCCUCCUGGGCCAGCACUGACGCUCAUGCACGAAAGCGUGGGGAGCAAACAGG
RNAcentral lists this ribosomal RNA (243 nucleotides) under uncultured bacterium. Its description in RNAcentral is "partial 16S ribosomal RNA". It matches the Rfam family "Bacterial small subunit ribosomal RNA", at positions 534 to 776 of the family's 1533-position model. The record is from RNAcentral.